This is a long non-coding RNA of Hordeum vulgare subsp. vulgare (domesticated barley), 1198 nucleotides long. RefSeq lists it as uncharacterized. The record is from RefSeq and is a predicted model, not a curated record. The transcript is spliced from 4 exons. NCBI's taxonomy places the organism in Eukaryota, Viridiplantae, Streptophyta, Magnoliopsida, Poales, Poaceae.
AAGAGGGCCACCACGCGGAAUCUGAUCGUGAUGUGUCCUGGUACACAAGGAUGCUGGAGUUGCUUGGGAUGAAGUCCCAUGGCGACCCUGGGCAGACCUUCACACUGAGGCGUUAUUCUUCUAGGCCAUCGAGCCAACAGUCUUCUGAUCCGCUGAGGCCUAGAUUAAAUUACGACCAUUUGUUGGGGGUGGUUCUUGUCUCCUCCAAGGAAUACCUAUCAAGGUUCUUCUGCCGAGGAAGGUGAGGAUGAACACGAGUGCCAAGAUACAUUAAAUAAGAAGGCGAGGAUUGAAAAACACACCGAGGAAAUUAAGGCUGUCAUUCAGGAUGCUCUUAGAAGAAAUCAGAUUUCUCCAGACUAUGCGCAUUACCUGGUCUUCCACACUGAUCUUCUUGGCAUGUAUGCAAGGAGACUAUCUCGAAAGGCGGCUCGCAAUUAUCAUUGGAUGCAUUGAAGGAUAAAAUUAAACUUCCUGGCCUCAGUUCUCUUUUAGACAAGAUUAUAAGUUUCGGGAGUGCAAUACAUUCUGGUGCAACACUUGCAGGGGCAGCAUACCGUGUCGCUCAAUCGGAUGGCCCAGGAGUUUUUCAUGAUGCAGGGAAACAAGCUUUGGUCUCUGAUAGGUGGCAGUGAAGUUACUGCCAGCCAGAACUUGGUGAGGAAAGUAAUGUUGAAUUUGAAGAGUGAGGGCUGCUUCUUGUGUCUCAAACCGUCCGAUAUUGAUCAUUGUCUUGAUAUUCAAGUAAAUGCUCAAGAAGGUGAUGCUGCUAUUAAUGAAUUUCCUGAUUUGCGAUAUGUAAGUGAGCUAUAUUGGUAUCUACAACUGCUUUGAAACAAUAUUUUUGUUUGAAAAUUCCCUGUUUUACUGAAAAUUUUCAUGUUUGUAUCACAGCCUAAUUCUGCUAGCGUCUUGGUGGAGAAGCUUAAUGGUAAUGAUAUGAAUGCAAUGCUAUAUCUGCCAUUUUCUCUUAGAAAAUCAAAAGUAAGUUGAGUUUUGUAAUAGCAUCUUUCUAUAUUGUUUUGUGUAUCAGAUUUUUCAGCUUGUAAUCUUGGGAAUGUAGGUUGAGCUGCAGCUACUUCAUCCUUUUCAUGGGUCUACCUGCAGCAUUGGUCUGAACAAUGAAAAGAUGUCUUGUGUGUUAGUUUCAAGUCUGUGUGGCCUACAUGAUCUUCAUCUAUGGGGUGUCCACAGUCUA